Molecule: small nuclear RNA, 98 nt
Filed under: Zalophus californianus (California sea lion)
Lineage: Eukaryota; Metazoa; Chordata; Mammalia; Carnivora; Otariidae
Source: RNAcentral
GCUUGCUUUGGCAGUGCAUAUACUAAAAUUAGAAUGAUACAGAGAAGAUUAGCAGGGCCCCUGCACAAAGAUGACACCAAAUUUGUGAAGCAUUUUAU